UACGGAGGGUGCAAGCGUUGUUCGGAAUCACUGGGCGUAAAGCGCGUGUAGGCGGCUUCCUAAGUUUGGUGUGAAAGCCCGGGGCUUACCCCCGGAAGUGCACUGGAUACUGGGAGGCUAGAGUACCGGAGAGGAGGGUGGAAUUCCUGGUGUAGCGGUGAAAUGCGUAGAUAUCAGGAGGAACACCGGUGGCGAAGGCGGCCCUCUGGACGGCUACUGACGCUGAGACGCGAAAGCGUGGGGAGCAAAC
This 250-nucleotide ribosomal RNA is filed under the name uncultured bacterium. RNAcentral describes it as "partial 16S ribosomal RNA". It matches the Rfam family "Bacterial small subunit ribosomal RNA", at positions 524 to 773 of the family's 1533-position model. The record is from RNAcentral.